RNAcentral lists this non-coding RNA (30 nucleotides) under Rattus norvegicus (Norway rat). The record is from RNAcentral. Lineage: Eukaryota; Metazoa; Chordata; Mammalia; Rodentia; Muridae.
UCAGAUGUGGAGAUCUACACUUCAGCCUCC